RNAcentral lists this ribosomal RNA (253 nucleotides) under uncultured bacterium. RNAcentral's name for it is "partial 16S ribosomal RNA". It matches the Rfam family "Bacterial small subunit ribosomal RNA", at positions 524 to 776 of the family's 1533-position model. The record is from RNAcentral.
UACGUAGGGGGCAAGCGUUGUCCGGAAUCAUUGGGCGUAAAGGGCUCGUAGGUGGCCAACUAAGUCAGACGUGAAAUCCCCAGGCUCAACUUGGGAACUGCGUCUGAUACUGGAUGGCUUGAAUUCGGGAGAGGGAUGCAGAAUUCCAGGUGUAGCGGUGAAAUGCGUAGAUAUCUGGAGGAAUACCGGUGGCGAAGGCGGCAUCCUGGACCGGCAUUGACGCUGAUGAGCGAAAGCUAGGGGAGCAAACGGG